This 117-nucleotide ribosomal RNA is filed under the name Chelonoidis abingdonii (Abingdon island giant tortoise). The record is from RNAcentral. Lineage: Eukaryota; Metazoa; Chordata; Testudines; Testudinidae.
ACAUAUGGCCAUACCGAACUGAACACCCUGAUCCCGUCUGAUUUCGGAAGGUAAACCAUCCUGGGCCUGGCUAGUCCUUGGAUGAGUGACAUCUGGGGGUCCCAGGUACUAAAAGCA